UAGGGAAUCUUCCACAAUGGACGCAAGUCUGAUGGAGCAACGCCGCGUGAGUGAAGAAGGUCUUCGGAUCGUAAAACUCUGUUGUUAGAGUAGAACACGAGUGAGAGUAACUGUUCAUUCGAUGACGGUAUCUAACCAGCAAGUCACGGCUAACUACGUGCCAG
This 164-nucleotide ribosomal RNA is filed under the name uncultured bacterium. Its description in RNAcentral is "partial 16S rRNA". It matches the Rfam family "Bacterial small subunit ribosomal RNA", at positions 355 to 511 of the family's 1533-position model. The record is from RNAcentral.